UUUCGAGUCAAAGCUACGCGGUUAAAUGGAUAGUUCAAAAUUGUGCGUAAAUUUCCUGAACUACCGUGGAAAUUAUUGUAAUUUUACAAACAGCGUCAAUCUCUACCCUUCUCUACGCUUCCCGCUUGCCCAACAAUUUGAAAUUUGCUUUCACACGUCACAAACUGGAUAACCGAUAAAAAUGAAACCGGACGACCUGUCGUUUCUAGAGAUCUCCGGCGAAGAUGAUUCGCCGUUGAAGCUGCAACGGAUCCCUAACGACGACGUAACAAGUUUCAGUAAGUCCUUUUUCACUUGUUCCCCUCUGCUACUCCCAGAUCUGACCGUUCCAUUCAUCAUCCUACGCCUCUUGUCUCUCCAAUUGCGGAAGUGACGGGAAAGGAGAACGAAGAAGAUUUAAAAUUUUCAUCACGUAGAGAUAGUGUUAAUGAAGAGAAUACAAGUAUGAACAAACCAGGAGUGCCAAAACUCAUUAUGGCGUCACAAAAAAUGAAGAGGAAGAAGAAGGGUGGAGGGUACAAUUUGCGCAAAAGCUUAGCAUGAAAUCGAGCUUUCUUUACUGAAGAAGGCGUUUUGGAUCCUUUAGAGUUAUCUUUAAUUAGUGGCAACAUCAGUAAGUCUAGUGGGGAGAUGUUGUCAGUUAUCAAUGAAGGUAGGAGAGAAUCGUUGGUGGGUGAAUUAGAAGAUUUGGGAGCUCUUGAAGAAAAUUGUUUGGGGAGCUGCCAGCAAGUACUAUAAAGGAUGAUAGAAAGAGUGCUGGUUCAUCAUUGCCAAAGAAGGUUGCAUCCACUGGAGUUAAUCCUGAAGUAGCAUCUGCUGCAGUGGUUAUUGUUCUUAUACUUGCUUGGGCUGCCGAUGUUUUGCUAUUCUUUUUGACUUUAUCUUGUCAGUUGAAAGUUGGGUUAAAUGAAACUAAUUUUAGUCGUGUUGAGCAUGUCCUCCUCAGGCUAAGCAAAAGGCGCUUUCAUUUCAAGAUGUUAAUAGAAGUGGAUCUAAACGCAGUGGUUGCCCACGACCUGUUGCUUCAUUUGCAUAUCCUUUUGAUGAAAUUGUACAAAUAUAAUGGAAGAGUUUUGUGGUCUCUAGAAGUAGACUUGAGUUGUAUGGUUGGACUGUCUUUCUUUAUCUAUUAAAUUGGAGAAUAGUUGACCUUAACUUCUUUGAACUGUGAACAGACGGGCGAAUGUGAGUACAACAAAAGCAGCAACUAAAGAUUUGAACUUGUCAAAGAUAACAGCUCGAAAACCGGAUGCCUCUGUGCAUCCUGCAACUGUUAAAAGCACUAUCCUGAGUGGGAGCAACUUAAAGAGGAAUCAGAAUGUUCAACGAGCAGUCAGCAUUCAUAGAAACAUCGGACUAAAGAGUUCCUCAAACAAUUCUACGAGUGCAAGAUCUAGCUCGCAACCCUGCAGAUCCGUAGUUGUGAAAUCUUCUAUGAAAUUAGCUAGAAGAAAUGUGUUCAACAUUGGAAGUCCGUUCGUCAACCAAUUCAGAGUAUUCACUUGUCACCAAAGCCAAAGCUAAAGAAGCCUCAAAGAUCAACCCAAGUCAUGCACUUUUAGCUUCUGGGGAUGCCAACAAUAUUGCAACUUCUUUUUCACCGAAGGCUCUCUUUAGUGGUGGAAGCAUGCAACAUUCACAACUACAAACUGCCAAACCAUCAUGUUUGCGGAUGCCAUCUCCGUCAUUGGGUUAAACCAGUCAAAGGCUUCUUCUUCACAUAGUUUAGUACUGAAAAGUAAUAAAGCUUGCAAUGUUCCCGAGUCAAACAAUUCUACGAGUGCAGUCAAAGGCUUCUUCUUCACAUGUUACUGGCAUGACAAGUGCAAAUCUGAGAGACUCAGGGUCAGUUACAGAAUCCUCUCUUCUAUCUAAUCUUAACUCUGGUUCACUUGAAAAGACAAAAUCCAACUUGCGCAGAAAUGCUACUCGAGAGUUGGAACUGAAUUUGUCAUCUAACUCUUACAGUUUCGACACAGUAAAUAAAGAACAAAGUUUACAUAUUUGCAAUGAUAUUGACCAGCCAUCUCUGAAAACUGCGAAACAAAGAACAUAUAAGGAGAUUUCACAUGCAGUGGAUGACGAACUACAGUGUAGUGAUAAUAGAUUGCUCGUACGAAGUGCACAAUCUGACCAAUUCAUGAAAGAUGAAGCGAAAGAGAGAGUUGCCAAUAUUUGCCCAAUGAAUAUAGAAUCGACUGGGCCCAAAGUGGAGAAUGAUAAUAUUACCUCCCAAUUUCAACCGUCAGUGCAAGUUGAAGGUAUAUACGAGAAAAAGGAUAUGAUUGACAACAAUGUGAAGAGGACAAAAUUUACUGUGCGUCAAUUGAUGAUCACAUUGCCUCUUCACGAUCAAAAUCUGGUGACGUCAAUGGUACUGUUUUAGGGCCACAAUCCAGAGAAGCCGAUGAUUAUAAUAUUAUGGGUGCUUCGAAACAGCAUGACAAUUUGUUAAGUUGUGCGCAAGAUGUUAAUGAACAAACGAUGAAACAAGCUGAGGAGAAAAUGCCUUCUGCCCUUCAGGUUGAUCAGAUUGAACCGUCCAUAAAUAUUGGCACUUUUUCCUGGGAGAGUAGAUCUUCAGAGUUUCAGAAGUGCACAAAUAGAAAGAUUUCCAAAUUCCAGUCCAGAAGGAAAAGAAUGCGUUGCUGCAGUUGAUAAUUUCUGUACAAAAUCCAAAGUAAAGUCUGCGGAUGUCAGUCUAUCAGUUGGAAGGGGAAAAGUUGUUUUGGGCUCUUCAGCCUUGGAUAAUAUGGUUGUUGAUGUGAAUGAAACUAUAAUUGAUACUAAUGGAAGUGAAUUGAAAAGUUCUGGUGCUCUUUGUUCAAAACAAUCCACACUACAUGAUAGUGGCUUUUAUAUGGCUGUAGAGCACCCACUUGGAGAUUAUGCAAAGUCAGGUUUGAUUGAUACAGAUUUCAGGUGUGAUAUCAAACCCCAUGUUCAGACUACUUCUGGCACGUCACAAAUGUUGGAUAAAAAUCAAGAGUCAGAUGUCGUAACCAGUGGCAACACUAAAGUCCCCAAUGUUGAACAUGAACUUGUAGAAGACAAACAACAUAAUUUAUCAAUAAACAAUCACCAUUCUGUUUCUGAAUUACACCCUGGAGAUGACAUUAGCCCUUGCAAGCAAAAUAUAUCAACAGCACACACCACACAUGUCAACACCAUGUCCACUGAGGGGAACCAGAUUCCAGAGGCUUAUGAUGAACCGUUGUUUGAGGAGCGCAAGCCUUUUGAAAAGCCCAGAGAUUCCAAUUCUAGUGAAAUUGUAGAUGGAAGUCUCGAUGCCAAAAUCUGUUUUGGUCGAGAGAAUGCCUCUCACUCUAUUUCAAGAUGAAUGUGUAACGCAAACAAAUGAAGAAGUUGCUGUAGUCGGUGAUACGUUUAGGGAUACACUUGAGGAAGAUGCACAGAUGCAGGUCUUAGAUGGGAGUUUAUCAACAGAUAGCUGCAAUUGUAACUUCAAUUCAUCAACAACAAAGGAUAAGUCUUCUGGGGAUGUUGAUGAUGUACGUGUUUCUGAUCUUGUAGCCGAGUUGCAGGAAAGUAAUGUCUGUAGAAGUGACUUGGAUGUUGUUUUACAGCAAUCUUAUGCUUGUGUAAAUGAAUUAAGUUCUGUUGUCUGUAUUCAGGCAGCCCCUGCAGUUAAGAAUGUGGUGUUGUUGAGGACCAGAAGGCAGAGUACCCAUAUGAGGAAAAAACAGUGUCAGGAUCUCUUGAGAUUGAACCAUUAGUCAAAAAUCUCGGGUGUUAUACUGAAACAAAGUUCAGGCAUGAUAGCGAUGAUGAUGAACUUAGUUCUCCUAACUGGUCAUUGACAUGUGGUCUGUAUUUGAAUAGGAAUGAAGUUCAAAAUUCAGUAACAGCAAAUACUUGCGAAUCUAAUACAUUUUGUUUGCAGAACAAAGAAUCUACAUUUUUGGUUGAAGUAAAUCAGUCAGCAUCAGGGAUAAAAAAAUAUAGAAGUUGACAUAUUGAAGAGUGAUACUUUUGCAGAGGAAGCUAGUAUUUCUCAAAAUGAGAGUUCUAUUGGUGAAAUGCAGCUUGAGCUAGACAAUGCCAAGUUUCUCAGUGAUGAUGGAAUAAUGUCAUUAACUGGAAGUGUCUUUCAAGAUGUAAAUGUUGAUGCAAUGAAGAUUGAUUUUUUGUCUAAAGAAGUUAGUAUAGUUCAAAAUGAUAUCAGUUCUAUUGUUGAGAUGCAACAUGAGUCAGAAGAUGCAACAAUUUCAUUAACUGGAAGUAUCUUACACGAAGUAAAUGUUACUUCAAUAAUGAGUGACGUUUCGCCUGAGGAAGCUGAAAUUAUCAUUUACCAAAAGAGUUGCAGUCCUAAUAAUGAAAUCAACUGUGACUAGGAUGAUGUUAUAGAAGAUAAGGAUACAACAAAACUUCUGAGUAUUUAGUUCUAAUUUAUUUUAUCUGAUCUUGCUAGCAUUUUUUUAGGCUUUUUCGGAUGAUAAAAAAGUUAGGUUGCUUCUGAAGCUGACUUUGUAUGCAGUGAGAAAUCUGGGAAUGAUAAGAAGCAAGAUAAUCCAGCGAUAAAACCUCCUCCACAUGCUGUUCCAUUUUCUGACGAGUGGUUAGCUGCAUUUGAAGAUGCCGGAGAGGAACUUCUAACCAUGAAAAGCGGCGCUGUACAGCAUUCACCCCCAGACAAGACUCAACCUGAACCUAGUCCAUGGUCGCCGGUGAAGCGAAAGAACAACCAAGGAAUUGGGCCAUAUGACUACUAAAUAUACCAACAUCCCUUCAUCCGGUUCCUAAUUAAUCAUUCUUUUGUAGCUAACAUCGUGACUGAUUUUGGUCCCUAUAACUCAUUUAUUGGAAGUAUUACUUUGUUCAC
Mangifera indica (mango) is the source of this 4846-nucleotide RNA transcript. RefSeq lists it as uncharacterized. Lineage: Eukaryota; Viridiplantae; Streptophyta; Magnoliopsida; Sapindales; Anacardiaceae. The record is from RefSeq and is a predicted model, not a curated record. The transcript has 8 exons.